This 759-nucleotide long non-coding RNA is filed under the name Equus asinus (donkey). Its description in RNAcentral is "lncRNA (ENSEASG00005036275.1)". Lineage: Eukaryota; Metazoa; Chordata; Mammalia; Perissodactyla; Equidae. The record is from RNAcentral.
CCCAUACCCAGCCCACUUGGCCAGACACUUCACUUACAAAUAUGUUCUCCUGCUGUGUCCCCUCUUAACGGGGCUCUUGUUUCCGGAAAGCCUGGAGUGAGAGCCUUUUCGGAAGCUGCAGACAUUUGUUCAACCCUCGCUCGAUCCAGACACCUCUGGCCAUUUGCCAGGAGGUCCCCGAAGGGUGAAAAUGUGUCCACAGUGAAAUGGAAGAGACCCGCAUGGUGUGGACCGUCCAGGGAGGCAGGCCAGAAAAGCAAGUGGAGCACCUGGUGUUCGCCUUCCUGGGCAGUGACCCCUCAUACGUGCCCACCCUCCUGGGCACCUGCAGAGCUUCUGCCAACACCCAACAGCACUCGACCUGCUGUUCAAAGGCGAGCACUAAGUCCGUCCACGAGACAGUGGUGUUUUGGUGACUUACUAGCUGUGAGACUUCAGAAUGUCACUGCCCCUCUCUGAGCCUCAGUUUGCUCCUGUGAACCUUGGAGUGAAUAGAGCACCAACCUCAUAGGGUUAUUUUCAAAACUAAGUGGGUCCACCAUGGAAAGUGCUGUCCGGGUGCCUGGCCCUGGGGCAAGAACUGCUGCAGGGCCAUGUUUGUGCUAAUUUAUCAUUUCCCUCAUGCCAUGACGAAGCCUCUGCCUCAUUCAUCACUGUUCUUGUAGCCUUGGGCUAAAGUGUUUUCCCAUUGGAAAAUGAGAUUUGAGAUUCCAUUAGUGGUUCCUUUUCAUGGGUAAAGUCUGAGGAGGGAUCCUUGGG